This is a long non-coding RNA of Papaver somniferum (opium poppy), 1130 nucleotides long. RefSeq lists it as uncharacterized. The record is from RefSeq and is a predicted model, not a curated record. The transcript has 3 exons. Lineage: Eukaryota; Viridiplantae; Streptophyta; Magnoliopsida; Ranunculales; Papaveraceae.
AGUUCCGUUUCUUUUCUAAUUAGCAGCGAACCCAUCUCCAUCGCUCCACUCCCACCACCACCAGCAUCUCCAUCGUCACCAACUCUGCAAAUACUCCCACAUUCGCCGCCGACAAUCGAGAAGUAUCAGUAACAUAUGAAACCUUUUUCUUAUUCUAUAAUUGAUUUUUAAAAUCAGAUCCAAAGAAAUCCAGAAUAAUCAUCGUCGGAGUGGAUUAACAUCAAACCUCAUCUAUUUCGUCAACAAAUCCAUCGAAGAAGAUAAGUUUUCAUUUAUUCAAUCGAAUCGAUGAUAUAAUCUCUGAUUUGUUUUAGAGUUUUCAAAACAUUCACAUUUAAUCUUUCGAUCUGUUAUGUUUUGGUGAUUCUUACUGUGAGUGAAAGAUGACGGGAAAAUUUAGGAAACCACUUUCAUCAAAAAAAAAUUAGGGUUCAUUAUCUGUGUUUCAGUUGUGUUUAUCGAUUUCAUAUGAUUUUAAAAUGAAUUUCAUAUUUGUAAAUGGUGGAUCUAAAUCUAUAGUACCCGUCAAAUCUUUAUGAAUUUAAUAUACUUUCGAUUUUCAAAAAUUUAGGGGUUCAUAAUUGUGUGUUAGCUAUUUUAAUUCCAUGUUAUGCAUGUGGUGGUGGUGGUGGUGCGGGUACUGGUACUUCUAGAGGCGUUGUUUCUGUUGAUAACAGUGGAAUUCAUGAAAUCACCUUUUUGGUGCUACUGUUGAGCUUAAUGAUGGUUGCUCAGAUGCAAUAUAGGUGAUGGUGCGUAUGUCGACUCUAACUUAAUCGUCGACAAUUAUUGUUGUCUGCAGCAAUAUAGGUGAUGAAACGUGCUGCUAUGUCCCUUGGAGUUGAUGGUUGAAAGAUGAACGGUGAUUCUUCUGAUCUUGUAGUAAGCUACAAUCCUGGUCCAGGCAAACAGAAUCUCAGAGGCAUUGAUGGACGAUUUAGGUUGUGUCUGAUGUGGUCAGUAGAUUUUUACUAUGUUGGCUUGUGUUUGAAUUAAUAAUUGUUAUCAUGUGUUUUAGUUGUUUAUCAUUGUUUCCAAUAAGAGAAAAAAAUUUAGUGCAUAAAUAUAUAUAGACACGCAAUUAGCUAAUUAAGAUAUAAAUGAUUUCAUGUUGGACUCUGUUGACUAUC